RNAcentral lists this ribosomal RNA (379 nucleotides) under uncultured eukaryote. RNAcentral describes it as "partial 18S ribosomal RNA". It matches the Rfam family "Eukaryotic small subunit ribosomal RNA", at positions 592 to 975 of the family's 1831-position model. The record is from RNAcentral.
CAAUAGCGUAUAUUAAAGUUGUUGCGGUUAAAAAGCUCGUAGUUGGAUUUCUGCCGAGGACGACCGGUCCGCCCUCUGGGUGAGUAUCUGGCUCGGCCUGGGCAUCUUCUUGGAGAACGUAGCUGCACUUGACUGUGUGGUGCGGUAUCCAGGACUUUUACUUUGAGGAAAUUAGAGUGUUUCAAGCAGGCUUACGCCUUGAAUACAUUAGCAUGGAAUAAUAAGAUAGGACCUCGGUUCUAUUUUGUUGGUUUCUAGAGCUGAGGUAAUGAUUAAUAGGGAUAGUUGGGGGCAUUCGUAUUUAACUGUCAGAGGUGAAAUUCUUGGAUUUGUUAAAGAUGGACUACUGCGAAAGCAUUUGCCAAGGAUGUUUNCAUUG